RNAcentral lists this ribosomal RNA (1321 nucleotides) under Escherichia coli. RNAcentral's name for it is "partial 23S ribosomal RNA". It matches the Rfam family "Bacterial large subunit ribosomal RNA", at positions 423 to 1746 of the family's 2925-position model. The record is from RNAcentral. Lineage: Bacteria; Pseudomonadati; Pseudomonadota; Gammaproteobacteria; Enterobacterales; Enterobacteriaceae.
CACGUGGUAUCCUGUCUGAAUAUGGGGGGACCAUCCUCCAAGGCUAAAUACUCCUGACUGACCGAUAGUGAACCAGUACCGUGAGGGAAAGGCGAAAAGAACCCCGGCGAGGGGAGUGAAAAAGAACCUGAAACCGUGUACGUACAAGCAGUGGGAGCACGCUUAGGCGUGUGACUGCGUACCUUUUGUAUAAUGGGUCAGCGACUUAUAUUCUGUAGCAAGGUUAACCGAAUAGGGGAGCCGAAGGGAAACCGAGUCUUAACUGGGCGUUAAGUUGCAGGGUAUAGACCCGAAACCCGGUGAUCUAGCCAUGGGCAGGUUGAAGGUUGGGUAACACUAACUGGAGGACCGAACCGACUAAUGUUGAAAAAUUAGCGGAUGACUUGUGGCUGGGGGUGAAAGGCCAAUCAAACCGGGAGAUAGCUGGUUCUCCCCGAAAGCUAUUUAGGUAGCGCCUCGUGAAUUCAUCUCCGGGGGUAGAGCACUGUUUCGGCAAGGGGGUCAUCCCGACUUACCAACCCGAUGCAAACUGCGAAUACCGGAGAAUGUUAUCACGGGAGACACACGGCGGGUGCUAACGUCCGUCGUGAAGAGGGAAACAACCCAGACCGCCAGCUAAGGUCCCAAAGUCAUGGUUAAGUGGGAAACGAUGUGGGAAGGCCCAGACAGCCAGGAUGUUGGCUUAGAAGCAGCCAUCAUUUAAAGAAAGCGUAAUAGCUCACUGGUCGAGUCGGCCUGCGCGGAAGAUGUAACGGGGCUAAACCAUGCACCGAAGCUGCGGCAGCGACGCUGAUGCGUUGUUGGGUAGGGGAGCGUUCUGUAAGCCUGCGAAGGUGUGCUGUGAGGCAUGCUGGAGGUAUCAGAAGUGCGAAUGCUGACAUAAGUAACGAUAAAGCGGGUGAAAAGCCCGCUCGCCGGAAGACCAAGGGUUCCUGUCCAACGUUAAUCGGGGCAGGGUGAGUCGACCCCUAAGGCGAGGCCGAAAGGCGUAGUCGAUGGGAAACAGGUUAAUAUUCCUGUACUUGGUGUUACUGCGAAGGGGGGACGGAGAAGGCUAUGUUGGCCGGGCGACGGUUGUCCCGGUUUAAGCGUGUAGGCUGGUUUUCCAGGCAAAUCCGGAAAAUCAAGGCUGAGGCGUGAUGACGAGGCACUACGGUGCUGAAGCAACAAAUGCCCUGCUUCCAGGAAAAGCCUCUAAGCAUCAGGUAACAUCAAAUCGUACCCCAAACCGACACAGGUGGUCAGGUAGAGAAUACCAAGGCGCUUGAGAGAACUCGGGUGAAGGAACUAGGCAAAAUGGUGCCGUAACUUCGGGAGAAGG